UUUCCUGGAGUGUUUGCCAGUCAAGAAGUCCCUGAGCCGAUACUAUUUUUUUGGCAACUCUUUGUCAGCAAUGUUGUGCUAUGCCGCUCGCCGGACCGCCUGAUUUGUUGCGGGGGUCGCCCCCUUGAACUUUUCGGUUCAAGGCCACGUUGACAGCGGCACUCUGGGUUA
This 171-nucleotide non-coding RNA is filed under the name marine eukaryotic metagenome. RNAcentral's name for it is "6S / SsrS RNA". It matches the Rfam family "6S / SsrS RNA". Rfam says of the family: E. coli 6S RNA was the first non coding RNA to be sequenced, but its function was unknown until recently. It consists of 184 nucleotides that fold into an extended hairpin structure with a large single-stranded internal bulge. The record is from RNAcentral.